GAACGGCAGCACAGAGGAGCUUGCUCUUGGGUGGCGAGUGGCGGACGGGUGAGGAAUACAUCGGAAUCUACUCUGUCGUGGGGGAUAACGUAGGGAAACUUACGCUAAUACCGCAUACGACCUACGGGUGAAAGCAGGGGAUCUUCGGACCUUGCGCGAUUCAAUGAGCCGAUGUCGGAUUAGCUAGUUGGCGGGGUAAAGGCCCACCAAGGCGACGAUCCGUAGCUGGUCUGAGAGGAUGAUCAGCCACACUGGAACUGAGACACGGUCCAGACUCCUACGGGAGGCAGCAGUGGGGAAUAUUGGACAAUGGGCGCAGCCUGAAUCCAGCCAUACCGCGUGGGUGAAGAAGGCCUUCGGGUUGUAAAGCCCUUUUGUUGGGAAAGAAAUCCACUGGCUAAUACCGGUUGGGAU
This 414-nucleotide ribosomal RNA is filed under the name uncultured Stenotrophomonas sp. RNAcentral describes it as "bacterial SSU rRNA". It matches the Rfam family "Bacterial small subunit ribosomal RNA", at positions 64 to 473 of the family's 1533-position model. Lineage: Bacteria; Pseudomonadati; Pseudomonadota; Gammaproteobacteria; Lysobacterales; Lysobacteraceae. The record is from RNAcentral.